This 360-nucleotide ribosomal RNA is filed under the name Bacillus subtilis. Its description in RNAcentral is "bacterial SSU rRNA". It matches the Rfam family "Bacterial small subunit ribosomal RNA", at positions 1143 to 1502 of the family's 1533-position model. The record is from RNAcentral. Lineage: Bacteria; Bacillati; Bacillota; Bacilli; Caryophanales; Bacillaceae.
AGGUGACUCCGGUGACAAACCGGAGGAAGGUGGGGAUGACGUCAAAUCAUCAUGCCCCUUAUGACCUGGGCUACACACGUGCUACAAUGGACAGAACAAAGGGCAGCGAAACCGCGAGGUUAAGCCAAUCCCACAAAUCUGUUCUCAGUUCGGAUCGCAGUCUGCAACUCGACUGCGUGAAGCUGGAAUCGCUAGUAAUCGCGGAUCAGCAUGCCGCGGUGAAUACGUUCCCGGGCCUUGUACACACCGCCCGUCACACCACGAGAGUUUGUAACACCCGAAGUCGGUGAGGUAACCUUUUAGGAGCCAGCCGCCGAAGGUGGGACAGAUGAUGGGGGUGAAGUCGUAACAAGGUAGCCG